CACACGGAUCCCCCUGGAGCGGGUCGGGUCGCGUGCGGGUCUAAGGCAAAACGGCGCCGUUUUGGUGCCUGAGAAGGCUGCCCAAAACGACGUCGUUUUGGAAGCCUAUUUAAGCUAAAGCUUUUUCAAAAUUUUCAUUCUUCCCUUCAUUUCUCCAAAAAAUUUUUGAAAAUGCUCUCAAUUCCUUUCCCCCAUUCCGGGCACUACCCAGAAUCCGGUGAACAGCGCCGUGUACGGUGGCCGGAAAAUUUGAAAAGGUACUUGAUGGCAAGGCAAGGGCUGUGGAGCAGAGGGUCGGUGGCAAAGGCAAGUGCACCACUUGCUGUUGACGGGACAGUGGCGGCUGAUUGGCUGUUGGGCCUGAUGUAUUUGGGCCACCUACUCUGUUGGGCCCGGGCAAAUGGGCUCGUACAAACAUAAUUUUCAAAUUUGUAAGCUUCAAGUAAAUAUCUUAAAAUGAUUUACUUCCCUCACUUAAAAGGUUAGAUGCAUGAAUUGUUUGACCAUUAAUUUUGUUUUUGUUUCCCUCAUUUCAAAUAUAUGAAAUUUUUUAUCACUCAAAUAAAA
Long non-coding RNA from Gossypium raimondii (Peruvian cotton), 567 nucleotides. RefSeq lists it as uncharacterized. NCBI's taxonomy places the organism in Eukaryota, Viridiplantae, Streptophyta, Magnoliopsida, Malvales, Malvaceae. The transcript has 2 exons. The record is from RefSeq and is a predicted model, not a curated record.